UAGUGUAGGCCUCUCAACAGUUAAGCACUAUCAGGAGAGCAGCAUCCAAUAGGCUGGACAUCAAGGAAGUAGCCUGCAGUCAUGUGCAAGCUUUAGCUAUUGGUCUCCAGGAAACCAGAUGAACUCUGCGAUCUAAUCUACUGAGUUAAUUUUUUGAAAAUUAAUCAGCAAUAUUGAUGCUGAGCAAGAGCAAAACAUUAUAAGUGCACCUACAAGGCAGCACAUCUGAUUUUUGCAAUAAUCUUCUUUUCACAAAUCAAAAGUCAAAGAAAUGUGGUUCUUGGGGGAUAUUGUUGGGGCCUUUUUGCUUAUUUGAAUAAAUUAUUUAGGCUGAUAUGAGAUUUUUUUUUUAUUCCCUUUUGACUCCUUAGUUGCAUGGUCUGCAACACCUGCUCACAUUUUUGUAACAUUCUUGACAGUGCAUCUGUUGUUGAAGAUAGCUUUGAAUAUCUUGAUGCCCCUAUUGAGAGGAUUGCUGGGGCCAAUGUACCAAUGCCUUACGCAUCGAACCUUGAGAAAAUGGCUCUACCACAGGUUUGUUUCAUCAUGUGUCAUGUUUCUGUAAUUUCAUAUGUACAAAUGACUUUCAGCUUUUUUGUUUCUGUUAGUCAUUUCAAAAGACAUUUACUUAAUUUCCUUAGACUAUAUGUUUCCGGGUAUGGAUAUUGUUUGAGUUUUGACUUCUGUUUUAUUUAUUGGAUUUAUCAGAUUGAAGACAUUGUUCGUGUUGCAAAGCGUGCAUACUAUAGAGCAGUACCAAUGGCGGCAGCAGCAUAAGCUUUAUCAUAUGUUUUGUUUUACUUUGAGGUAGUUUUCUUUGUUUUUUCUUGUAAAUCUUUUUUUUUCAUAAGUAUUUUCCAUCCUAUAUUACGUGGAAUCGGGUAUAUAUCCAACUAUUUAAGUAUCUGACUUGGCCAUUUUAUAUAAUAAAGUUCCAUGAUUUUGGCCCCGAAUGAAGUGUGAAGUGUCGGGGAUCCCACACAGGUUCUUGAGGGUAUUGUAAGGAAUAAUCUGUCUCGGAUUUUCUUUGGGACGAGAAUACAAGAUGAAGAGCCUCUAAAUCGCAAGGGUUAUGUUAACAGGCCAUAUACAAGGUGCUCUUUAGAUGCUAUGUAGUCUUAAAUUGCAGAGAUUUUGUUCUUUAUCUUCUGCAAUACUAUGUCAGGAUAUCUUUUGUGGUGCUGGCACAAAUAUGGUUCAGUUUUAGAUUCAGUUAUUUCUUUGCUGAUGCAAUGAGAAUUGCUCUUAUGAUAUCUUAACUUGGUUGAUCCC
Molecule: long non-coding RNA, 1272 nt
Organism: Beta vulgaris subsp. vulgaris (sugar beet)
Lineage: Eukaryota; Viridiplantae; Streptophyta; Magnoliopsida; Caryophyllales; Amaranthaceae
Exons: 2
Source: RefSeq, a predicted model, not a curated record